Long non-coding RNA from Perca flavescens (yellow perch), 205 nucleotides. RefSeq lists it as uncharacterized. The transcript has 3 exons. The record is from RefSeq and is a predicted model, not a curated record. Lineage: Eukaryota; Metazoa; Chordata; Actinopteri; Perciformes; Percidae.
CCGGACCUGCACCUGUUCCAGUGUGACCACAUCAAGGCGAAUCUGAUCCACGCAGACGUAGAGAGUGCCGUGAUCGAUGCCAAAGGAGGCAAAGUGAAGAAGAGACCGGAGACGCUCCGGAUGAUCCUGAAGAGUGACGGGGUCAUCCCCCCUCCCCCCGCUGCUCCCGCCCCUGAACCACCGGCAUCGUCCAAUCAGAUGGACG